This 399-nucleotide ribosomal RNA is filed under the name uncultured bacterium. RNAcentral describes it as "bacterial SSU rRNA". It matches the Rfam family "Bacterial small subunit ribosomal RNA", at positions 355 to 752 of the family's 1533-position model. The record is from RNAcentral.
UGAGGAAUAUUGGUCAAUGGCCGGAAGGCUGAACCAGCCAUCCCGCGUGCAGGAUGACGGCCCUAUGGGUUGUAAACUGCUUUUGUACCUGAAGAAACCUGGUUACGUGUAGCCAGUUGCCGGUAAGGUAUGAAUAAGCAUCGGCUAACUCCGUGCCAGCAGCUGCGGUAAUACGGAGGAUGCAAGCGUUAUCCGGAUUCAUUGGGUUUAAAGGGUGCGCAGGUGGGAAAAUAAGUCAGUGGUGAAAUACUGCCGCUUAACGGUAGAAUUGCCAUUGAUACUGUUUUCUUGAGUAUGGUUGAGGUAGGUGGAAUGUGUUGUGUAGCGGUGAAAUGCAUAGAUAUGACACAGAACGCCGAUUGCGAAGGCAGCUUACUAAGCCAUUACUGACGCUGAGGC